UACUGAAUGAUGGGAAUCAAACUCCAGUGUUCCGCUUACCAGGCAGAUGCCAUGUCCACUAGGCUACCCUGGAUUCAGU
Cordylochernes scorpioides is the source of this 79-nucleotide non-coding RNA. The record is from the annotation of a GenBank genome assembly. NCBI's taxonomy places the organism in Eukaryota, Metazoa, Arthropoda, Arachnida, Pseudoscorpiones, Chernetidae.